This 109-nucleotide small RNA is filed under the name Marmota monax (woodchuck). The record is from RNAcentral. Lineage: Eukaryota; Metazoa; Chordata; Mammalia; Rodentia; Sciuridae.
GCUGGGUUUGGUGGCACAUGCCUGUAAUUCCAACAAUUUGGAAGGCUGAGACAGGAGGAUCACAAGUUCAAGGAGGCAUCCUCAGCAACUUAAUGAGAUCCUGUCUCAA